Ictidomys tridecemlineatus (thirteen-lined ground squirrel) is the source of this 94-nucleotide small nuclear RNA. The record is from Ensembl. Lineage: Eukaryota; Metazoa; Chordata; Mammalia; Rodentia; Sciuridae.
GUGCUCGCUUCGGCAGCACAUAUACUAAAACUGGAACGAUACAGAGAAGAUUAGCAUGGCCCCUGUGCAAAAAAUGGACAAAGACCAAGUGUUU